This 1554-nucleotide ribosomal RNA is filed under the name Salmonella enterica subsp. enterica serovar Senftenberg str. CFSAN004025. Its description in RNAcentral is "bacterial SSU rRNA". It matches the Rfam family "Bacterial small subunit ribosomal RNA". Lineage: Bacteria; Pseudomonadati; Pseudomonadota; Gammaproteobacteria; Enterobacterales; Enterobacteriaceae. The record is from RNAcentral.
AAAUUGAAGAGUUUGAUCAUGGCUCAGAUUGAACGCUGGCGGCAGGCCUAACACAUGCAAGUCGAACGGUAACAGGAAGCAGCUUGCUGCUUUGCUGACGAGUGGCGGACGGGUGAGUAAUGUCUGGGAAACUGCCUGAUGGAGGGGGAUAACUACUGGAAACGGUGGCUAAUACCGCAUAACGUCGCAAGACCAAAGAGGGGGACCUUCGGGCCUCUUGCCAUCAGAUGUGCCCAGAUGGGAUUAGCUGGUUGGUGAGGUAACGGCUCACCAAGGCGACGAUCCCUAGCUGGUCUGAGAGGAUGACCAGCCACACUGGAACUGAGACACGGUCCAGACUCCUACGGGAGGCAGCAGUGGGGAAUAUUGCACAAUGGGCGCAAGCCUGAUGCAGCCAUGCCGCGUGUAUGAAGAAGGCCUUCGGGUUGUAAAGUACUUUCAGCGGGGAGGAAGGUGUUGCGGUUAAUAACCGCAGCAAUUGACGUUACCCGCAGAAGAAGCACCGGCUAACUCCGUGCCAGCAGCCGCGGUAAUACGGAGGGUGCAAGCGUUAAUCGGAAUUACUGGGCGUAAAGCGCACGCAGGCGGUCUGUCAAGUCGGAUGUGAAAUCCCCGGGCUCAACCUGGGAACUGCAUUCGAAACUGGCAGGCUUGAGUCUUGUAGAGGGGGGUAGAAUUCCAGGUGUAGCGGUGAAAUGCGUAGAGAUCUGGAGGAAUACCGGUGGCGAAGGCGGCCCCCUGGACAAAGACUGACGCUCAGGUGCGAAAGCGUGGGGAGCAAACAGGAUUAGAUACCCUGGUAGUCCACGCCGUAAACGAUGUCUACUUGGAGGUUGUGCCCUUGAGGCGUGGCUUCCGGAGCUAACGCGUUAAGUAGACCGCCUGGGGAGUACGGCCGCAAGGUUAAAACUCAAAUGAAUUGACGGGGGCCCGCACAAGCGGUGGAGCAUGUGGUUUAAUUCGAUGCAACGCGAAGAACCUUACCUGGUCUUGACAUCCACGGAAGUUUUCAGAGAUGAGAAUGUGCCUUCGGGAACCGUGAGACAGGUGCUGCAUGGCUGUCGUCAGCUCGUGUUGUGAAAUGUUGGGUUAAGUCCCGCAACGAGCGCAACCCUUAUCCUUUGUUGCCAGCGGUCCGGCCGGGAACUCAAAGGAGACUGCCAGUGAUAAACUGGAGGAAGGUGGGGAUGACGUCAAGUCAUCAUGGCCCUUACGACCAGGGCUACACACGUGCUACAAUGGCGCAUACAAAGAGAAGCGACCUCGCGGGAGCAAGCGGACCUCAUAAAGUGCGUCGUAGUCCGGAUUGGAGUCUGCAACUCGACUCCAUGAAGUCGGAAUCGCUAGUAAUCGUGGAUCAGAAUGCCACGGUGAAUACGUUCCCGGGCCUUGUACACACCGCCCGUCACACCAUGGGAGUGGGUUGCAAAAGAAGUAGGUAGCUUAACCUUCGGGAGGGCGCUUACCACUUUGUGAUUCAUGACUGGGGUGAAGUCGUAACAAGGUAACCGUAGGGGAACCUGCGGUUGGAUCACCUCCUUACCUUAAAGAAGC